RNAcentral lists this ribosomal RNA (490 nucleotides) under uncultured bacterium. Its description in RNAcentral is "bacterial SSU rRNA". It matches the Rfam family "Bacterial small subunit ribosomal RNA", at positions 37 to 518 of the family's 1533-position model. The record is from RNAcentral.
UGAACGCGUAGCGACAGGCCUAACACGAUGCAAGUCGAGGGGCAGCGGGGUGCUGCACCGCCGGCGACCGGCGCACGGGUGAGUAACGCGUAUGCGACCUGCCCGCCACCGCGGGAUAGCCUCCCGAAAGGGAGAUUAACACCGCAUGGUCCGGUGCCUAUAAUGGGGCAUCGGCAAACGCGAGGGUGGCGGGAUGGGCAUGCGUCCCAUUAGGCAGCAGGCGGGGUAACGGCCCACCUGGCCGACGAUGGGUAGGGGUCCUGAGAGGGAGGUCCCCCACACUGGUACUGAGACACGGACCAGACUCCUACGGGAGGCAGCAGUGAGGAAUAUUGGUCAAUGGGCGAGAGCCUGAACCAGCCAAUGUCGCGUGCAGGACUACGGCCCUACGGGUCUUAAACUGCUUUUGAUUGGGGAUAAAGGAGGGGACGCGUCCCCUUUUGCAGGUACCAAUCGAAUAAGGAUCGGCUAACUCCGUGCCAGCCGCCGC